RNAcentral lists this ribosomal RNA (467 nucleotides) under uncultured bacterium. RNAcentral describes it as "partial 16S ribosomal RNA". It matches the Rfam family "Bacterial small subunit ribosomal RNA", at positions 29 to 507 of the family's 1533-position model. The record is from RNAcentral.
ACGAACGCUGGCGGCGUGCUUAACACAUGCAAGUCGAACGGAAAGGCCCUGCUUUUGUGGGGUGCUCGAGUGGCGAACGGGUGAGUAACACGUGAGUAACCUGCCCUUGACUUUGGGAUAACUUCAGGGAACUGGGGCUAAUACCGGAUAGGAGCUCCUGCUGCAUGGUGGGGGUUGGAAAGUUUCGGCGGUUGGGGAUGGACUCGCGGCUUAUCAGCUUGUUGGUGGGGUAGUGGCUUACCAAGGCUUUGACGGGUAGCCGGCCUGAGAGGGUGACCGGCCACAUUGGGACUGAGAUACGGCCCAGACUCCUACGGGAGGCAGCAGUGGGGAAUAUUGCACAAUGGGCGGAAGCCUGAUGCAACAACGCCGCGUGCGGGAUGACGGCCUUCGGGUUGUAAACCGCUUUCGCCUGUGACGAAGCGUGAGUGACGGUAAUGGGUAAAGAAGCACCGGCUAACUACGUG